RNAcentral lists this ribosomal RNA (468 nucleotides) under uncultured bacterium. RNAcentral's name for it is "partial 16S ribosomal RNA". It matches the Rfam family "Bacterial small subunit ribosomal RNA", at positions 28 to 507 of the family's 1533-position model. The record is from RNAcentral.
GACGAACGCUGGCGGCGUGCUUAACACAUGCAAGUCGAACGGAAAGGCCCUGCUUUUGUGGGGUGUUCGAGUGGCGAACGGGUGAGUAACACGUGAGUAACCUGCCCUUGACUUUGGGAUAACUUCAGGAAACUGGUGCUAAUACUGGAUAGGAGCUCCUGCUGCAUGGUGGGGGUUGGAAAGUUUCGGCGGUUGGGGAUGGACUCGCGGCUUAUCAGCUUGUUGGUGGGGUAGUGGCUUACCAAGGCUUUGACGGGUAGCCGGCCUGAGAGGGUGACCGGCCACAUUGGGACUGAGAUACGGCCCAGACUCCUACGGGAGGCAGCAGUGGGGAAUAUUGCACAAUGGGCGGAAGCCUGAUGCAGCAACGCCGCGUGCGGGAUGACGGCCUUCGGGUUGUAAACCGCUUUCGCCUGUGACGAAGCGUGAGUGACGGUAAUGGGUAAAGAAGCACCGGCUAACUACGUG